Molecule: RNA transcript, 1480 nt
Organism: Piliocolobus tephrosceles (Ugandan red Colobus)
Lineage: Eukaryota; Metazoa; Chordata; Mammalia; Primates; Cercopithecidae
Gene: GNPTG
Gene name: N-acetylglucosamine-1-phosphate transferase subunit gamma
Exons: 12
Source: RefSeq, a predicted model, not a curated record
CCACUUCCGGUUCCCGCGGUCACGUGACCGUCAUUCCAUGUGACCGCGAGGCGCUGCGGCGCGAUGGCGGCGGGGCUGGUGCGGGUGCUGUUGUUCCUCGGGCUCUCGGUCCGCGGGCCCGCGCCGGCAGGUGCCGCGAAGAUGAAGGUGGUGGAGGAGCCCAACACGUUCGGGGUGAACAACCCGUUCUUGCCCCAGGCUAGUCGCCUCCAGGCCAAGAGGGAUCCUUCACCCGUGUCUGGGCCGGCGCAUCUCUUCCGACUCUCGGGCAAGUGCUUCAGCCUGGUGGAGUCCACGUACAAGUACGAGUUCUGCCCAUUCCACAACGUGACCCAGCACGAGCAGACCUUCCGCUGGAACGCCUACAGCGGGGUCCUCGGCAUCUGGCACGAGUGGGAGAUCGCCAACAACACCUUCAUGGGCAUGUGGAUGAGGGAUGGUGAUGCCUGUCGUUCCCGGAGUCGGCAGAGCAAGGUGGAGCUGGCGUGUGGAAAAAGCAACCGGCUGGCCCACGUGUCCGAGCCGAGCACCUGUGUCUAUGCGCUGACGUUUGAGACCCCCCUCGUCUGCCACCCCCACGCCUUGCUAGUGUACCCAACCCUGCCAGAGGCCCUGCAGCGGCGGUGGGACCAGGUGGAGCAGGACCUGGCCGACAAGCUGAUCACCGCCCAGGGCCAUGAGAAGUUGCUGCGGACACUUUUUGAGGAUGCUGGCUACUUAAAGGCCCCAAAAGAAAAUGAACCCACCCAGCUGGAGGGAGGUCCUGACAGCUUGGGGUUUGAGACCCUGGAAAGCUGCAGAAAGGUACCGUACUGGGGGAGGUGGCAGCACACAGUGGCCUCCUGCCCUGCCCCGGCCUUUCCCUUGACCUUCGUGUUGCAGGCGCGCAGAGAACUGUCGGAGGAGAUCAGAAGGCUGAAAGGUUUGCUCAGCCAGCACGGCAUCCCCUACAUGAGGCCCACAGAAACUUCCAGCUUGGAGCACUUGGGCCACAAGACACCCAGAGCCAAGCCUGCAGAGCAGCUGCGGGGGGACCCAGGACUGCGUGGGAGUUUGUGACCCCAUGGUGGGAAGGCAGAGGUGGCCACGGCCGAGCACCCUACAGACGGGCUGGUGAUCCACCCGCCUCAGCCUCCCAAAGUGCUGGGAUCACAGGCGUGAGCCACCGGGCCCAGCCAGAAGACAGCUGCUUAAAAAGGCACAGACGCAUAGGAAAAGUGGCCACGGAUCACAGAAACGCAGGACGGAGCUCUCCUGCUCCCACGUCACGAGGCUGGAAUAUCAACCCCAGUGCCUUGUGCGCACACAGGCUCGGGAAAACUAGCUCCUUCCAUCAAGUUAAAAACAUCUAAAUCCAUAAUCACUCUGCUUAUAAAUACUAUCUGCACUUAAUGGGAAAAUGUAAAAAUCCUAGGUCUUACUACUAGAUAAACGCUCAUUUCAUAAGUACUAGUUUCAGAAUAUGAAAUCUAAUAUAUUC